Myotis davidii is the source of this 1233-nucleotide long non-coding RNA. RefSeq lists it as uncharacterized. The record is from RefSeq and is a predicted model, not a curated record. The transcript has 4 exons. Lineage: Eukaryota; Metazoa; Chordata; Mammalia; Chiroptera; Vespertilionidae.
UUGACUCAACCAGGAAAAGAGCAGGCCUUGUGGCCUGGCCUGGACUCUUCUGUGCUUCAGGCCACAGCUCUGGGCCUCUCAAAGAUUCUCCCCACCUGGCUCACCCGAAGCUAGACCCCGACAAGCCCUCGACCUCCAAAAACGAAACAGAGGAAAGAACAGCAUCCACUGCCAGCUUCUCCAGUCUUUUGGCACAUGGACGGCGCUUCAAGAACGCUUCCACUGGAUCAGCGCUGCGGGCGCCUCCCGGCCUGGAGCUUUCAGGGAGGAAGGCCCGGCCAGGGCAGCCUGCGCAGGUGCGCUCCUCGAAAGCCUGGGGCAUGUACCGCUCCCACUGCUGAGCACAGCGGGGUGCCCACCAGGCCUGCCCUAGGCGCAAGGCCUCGAGUGGCACUGGGUGAGGCGGAGACUGUCGAGCACGUGCCUCAGCAGAUAGCCAACCACCAGGCCGACUCCAGACCUCACUCGCCUCGCUGCCCGGAUGGGGCCCCAGGAGGUGCUGAGCCGGCCUCACGUCUCCCUGAUUUUCCUAGGACUUCGGUGUGAACAGGCUCCCCUUGAGGCCAGAAAUAAAACUAAACCCCCAGAUGGACUCCCAAAGCUUAAAUGUCCUUUGAACCCCGCUGCUGCUUCCCCGCAUGACAGCCUCACUUUAGAGCCACUUUUCAUCUCUUCCAGCCCCUGUCUAUGCCCAGCACAGGGUCACCUCUGCAGAAACCUGGACCCAGACCUCAGGCCGGUCUCCACUUAGGUCUCAUUUGUGCCACAUCUCCUGGGCUGCUCCUCAGAUACAGUGCGAGUCCAGGUAAUGGAACCUCUACUCUCUCCUGUCUUUUGGUGUCGGAGAGCGUGAGUGAGGCUCCGGAGAGUGGGCGCCGGGCCCACGCGCACAUGCGCAGCAGAGGGAGGAGGGACAGCAGGGUUCUCCCCGGCCAGAGCGAGGAGGCCACAUCUCACACGCACCUCCAUCCUGCAGGGCGAGGGGCCGGCAGGCCUGCCCACCUGGGUCACAGCAGCAGGUGGCAGACGCCCGGAAGCCCUCCUCUGCGCCCGCUGGGACAGCCCUGGGCUGGAGGUGCCCUCAGCCACCCACCGAGGCCGCCAGAACCGCGGGGGAAUCACCAGGCCAAAGAAGUCAAUGAUUUCGGCAAACGGAAUUUCUUUGUCCUUUGUAAAAGUCAACACAUGAUCUGUUCCUGAUUGGGAUGUGAAAUAAAACUAAAAAUAACAGCA